GACGUAGGGCGCGAGCGUUGUCCGGAUUUAUUGGGCGUAAAGAGCUCGUAGGCGGCUUGUCGCGUCGUUCGUGAAAACCCGGGGCUCAACUCCGGGCUUGCGGGCGAUACGGGCAGGCUAGAGUUCGGUAGGGGAGACUGGAAUUCCUGGUGUAGCGGUGGAAUGCGCAGAUAUCAGGAGGAACACCGGUGGCGAAGGCGGGUCUCUGGGCAGUAACUGACGCUGAGGAGCGAAAGCGUGGGGAGCGAACAGG
RNAcentral lists this ribosomal RNA (253 nucleotides) under uncultured bacterium. Its description in RNAcentral is "partial 16S ribosomal RNA". It matches the Rfam family "Bacterial small subunit ribosomal RNA", at positions 524 to 776 of the family's 1533-position model. The record is from RNAcentral.